Molecule: ribosomal RNA, 497 nt
Filed under: uncultured bacterium
Lineage: Bacteria
Description: partial 16S ribosomal RNA
Rfam family: Bacterial small subunit ribosomal RNA
Source: RNAcentral
GAUGAACGCUGGCGGCGUGCCUAAUACAUGCAAGUCGAGCGAACGUACGAGAAGCUUGCUUUUCUGAUGUUAGCGGCGGACGGGUGAGUAACACGUGGAUAACCUACCUAUAAGACUGGGAUAACUUCGGGAAACCGGAGCUAAUACCGGAUAAUAUUUUGAACCACAUGGUUCAAAAGUGAAAGACGGUCUUGCUGUCACUUAUAGAUGGAUCCGCGCUGCAUUAGCUAGUUGGUAAGGUAACGGCUUACCAAGGCAACGAUGCAUAGCCGACCUGAGAGGGUGAUCGGCCACACUGGAACUGAGACACGGUCCAGACUCCUACGGGAGGCAGCAGUAGGGAAUCUUCCGCAAUGGGCGAAAGCCUGACGGAGCAACGCCGCGUGAGUGAUGAAGGUCUUCGGAUCGUAAAACUCUGUUAUUAGGGAAGAACAUAUGUGUAAGUAACUGUGCACAUCUUGACGGUACCUAAUCAGAAAGCCACGGCUAACUACGUG